GAAGCUGGCCAGACAGUCGCCGCGCACCUCUGGUGCGGGGAGGAAAGUCCGGGCUCCAGAGAGCAGAAUGCCGGUUAAUGGCCGGACACCGCGAGGUGAUGAAAAGUGCCACAGAAAAUAAACCGCCGAUGGCUGUGCAAACAGAUCAGGUAAGGAUGAAACGGUGCGGUAAGAGCGCACCGCGCUCCCGGUAACGGGAGUGGCACGGUAAACUCCAUUCGGAGCAAGAUCAAAUAGGCUGACUAUGGCGUGGCUCGCGUCGUCAGCGGGUAGAUUGCUUGAGCGUAAGGUAACGAAACGCCUAGAGGAAUGACUGUCCACGACAGAACCCGGCUUAUCGGCCAGCUUCACCU
This 353-nucleotide RNase P RNA is filed under the name Gallionella sp. RNAcentral's name for it is "RNase P RNA component class A". It matches the Rfam family "Bacterial RNase P class A". From Rfam's summary of the family: Ribonuclease P (RNase P) is a ubiquitous endoribonuclease, found in archaea, bacteria and eukarya as well as chloroplasts and mitochondria. Its best characterised activity is the generation of mature 5'-ends of tRNAs by cleaving the 5'-leader elements of precursor-tRNAs. Lineage: Bacteria; Pseudomonadati; Pseudomonadota; Betaproteobacteria; Nitrosomonadales; Gallionellaceae. The record is from RNAcentral.